This 636-nucleotide ribosomal RNA is filed under the name uncultured bacterium. RNAcentral's name for it is "bacterial SSU rRNA". It matches the Rfam family "Bacterial small subunit ribosomal RNA", at positions 869 to 1502 of the family's 1533-position model. The record is from RNAcentral.
CCGCCUGGGGGAGUAGGGUCGCAAGAUUAAAAAUCAAAAUGAAUUGACGGGGGGCCCGCACAAGCGGUGGAGCAUGUGGUUUAAUUCGAUGCAACGCGAAGAACCUUACCUACUCUUGACAUCUACAGAAGCCAGCGGAGACGCAGGUGUGCCUUCGGGAACUGUAAGACAGGUGCUGCAUGGCUGUCGUCAGCUCGUGUUGUGAAAUGUUGGGUUAAGUCCCGCAACGAGCGCAACCCUUAUCCUUGUUUGCCAGCACUUCGGGUGGGAACUCCAGGGAGACUGCCGGUGAUAAACCGGAGGAAGGUGGGGACGACGUCAAGUCAUCAUGGCCCUUACGAGUAGGGCUACACACGUGCUACAAUGGCGCAUACAGAGGGCGGCCAACUUGCGAAAGUGAGCGAAUCCCAAAAAGUGCGUCGUAGUCCGGAUUGGAGUCUGCAACUCGACUCCAUGAAGUCGGAAUCGCUAGUAAUCGUGGAUCAGAAUGCCACGGUGAAUACGUUCCCGGGCCUUGUACACACCGCCCGUCACACCAUGGGAGUGGGCUGCAAAAGAAGUGGGUAGUUUAACCUUCGGGAGGACGCUCACCACUUUGUGGUUCAUGACUGGGGUGAAGUCGUAACAAGGUAACCG